RNAcentral lists this ribosomal RNA (484 nucleotides) under uncultured bacterium. Its description in RNAcentral is "partial 16S ribosomal RNA". It matches the Rfam family "Bacterial small subunit ribosomal RNA", at positions 29 to 507 of the family's 1533-position model. The record is from RNAcentral.
AUUGAACGCUGGCGGCAUGCUUUACACAUGCAAGUCGAACGGCAGCGCGGGCUUCGGCCUGGCGGCGAGUGGCGAACGGGUGAGUAAUACAUCGGAACGUGCCCAGUAGUGGGGGAUAGCUCGGCGAAAGCCGGAUUAAUACCGCAUACGUCCUGAGGGUGAAAGCGGGGGAUCUUCGGACCUCGCGCUAUUGGAGCGGCCGAUGGCAGAUUAGCUAGUUGGUGGGGUAAAGGCCUACCAAGGCGACGAUCUGUAGCUGGUCUGAGAGGACGACCAGCCACACUGGGACUGAGACACGGCCCAGACUCCUACGGGAGGCAGCAGUGGGGAAUUUUGGACAAUGGGCGAAAGCCUGAUCCAGCAAUGCCGCGUGUGUGAUGAAGGCCUUCGGGUUGUAAAGCACUUUUGGCGGGAACGAAAAGGACUGCGCCAAUACCACGGUUCGAUGACGGUACCCGCAGAAUAAGCACCGGCUAACUACGUG